Molecule: ribosomal RNA, 292 nt
Filed under: uncultured bacterium
Lineage: Bacteria
Description: partial 16S ribosomal RNA
Rfam family: Bacterial small subunit ribosomal RNA
Source: RNAcentral
GUUACAGCAGCCGCGGUAAUACGUAGGGUGCGAGCGUUAAUCGGAAUUACUGGGCGUAAAGCGUGCGCAGGCGGUUCGCUAAGACCGAUGUGAAAUCCCCGGGCUCAACCUGGGAACUGCAUUGGUGACUGGCGGACUAGAGUAUGGCAGAGGGGGGUGGAAUUCCACGUGUAGCAGUGAAAUGCGUAGAGAUGUGGAGGAACACCGAUGGCGAAGGCAGCCCCCUGGGCCAAUACUGACGCUCAUGCACGAAAGCGUGGGGAGCAAACAGGAUUAGAUACCCGCGUAGUCC